RNAcentral lists this ribosomal RNA (465 nucleotides) under Vreelandella stevensii. Its description in RNAcentral is "partial 16S ribosomal RNA". It matches the Rfam family "Bacterial small subunit ribosomal RNA", at positions 338 to 795 of the family's 1533-position model. The record is from RNAcentral. Lineage: Bacteria; Pseudomonadati; Pseudomonadota; Gammaproteobacteria; Oceanospirillales; Halomonadaceae.
CCUACGGGAGGCAGCAGUGGGGAAUAUUGGACAAUGGGGGGAACCCUGAUCCAGCCAUGCCGCGUGUGUGAAGAAGGCCCUCGGGUUGUAAAGCACUUUCAGUGAGGAAGAACGCCUGGUGGUUAAUACCCAUCAGGAAAGACAUCACUCACAGAAGAAGCACCGGCUAACUCCGUGACAGCAGCCGCGGUAAUACGGAGGGUGCGAGCGUUAAUCGGAAUUACUGGGCGUAAAGCGCGCGUAGGUGGCUUGAUAAGCCGGUUGUGAAAGCCCCGGGCUCAACCUGGGAACGGCAUCCGGAACUGUCAAGCUAGAGUGCAGGAGAGGAAGGUAGAAUUCCCGGUGUAGCGGUGAAAUGCGUAGAGAUCGGGAGGAAUACCAGUGGCGAAGGCGGCCUUCUGGACUGACACUGACACUGAGGUGCGAAAGCGUGGGUAGCAAACAGGAUUAGAUACCCCGGUAGUC